Molecule: transfer RNA, 74 nt
Filed under: Pteropus alecto (black flying fox)
Lineage: Eukaryota; Metazoa; Chordata; Mammalia; Chiroptera; Pteropodidae
Rfam family: tRNA
About the family: Transfer RNA (tRNA) molecules are approximately 80 nucleotides in length. Their secondary structure includes four short double-helical elements and three loops (D, anti-codon, and T loops).
Source: Rfam by way of RNAcentral
GGUUCCAUAGUGUAGCAGUUAGCACGUCUGCUUUACACUCAGAAGGUCCUGGGUUUUGUGCCCCAGUGGAGCCA